This 709-nucleotide ribosomal RNA is filed under the name Enterococcus hirae. RNAcentral describes it as "bacterial SSU rRNA". It matches the Rfam family "Bacterial small subunit ribosomal RNA", at positions 66 to 746 of the family's 1533-position model. The record is from RNAcentral. Lineage: Bacteria; Bacillati; Bacillota; Bacilli; Lactobacillales; Enterococcaceae.
ACGCUUCUUUUUCCACCGGAGCUUGCUCCACCGGAAAAAGAAGAGUGGCGAACGGGUGAGUAACACGUGGGUAACCUGCCCAUCAGAAGGGGAUAACACUUGGAAACAGGUGCUAAUACCGUAUAACAAUCGAAACCGCAUGGUUUUGAUUUGAAAGGCGCUUUCGGGUGUCGCUGAUGGAUGGACCCGCGGUGCAUUAGCUAGUUGGUGAGGUAACGGCUCACCAAGGCCACGAUGCAUAGCCGACCUGAGAGGGUGAUCGGCCACAUUGGGACUGAGACACGGCCCAAACUCCUACGGGAGGCAGCAGUAGGGAAUCUUCGGCAAUGGACGAAAGUCUGACCGAGCAACGCCGCGUGAGUGAAGAAGGUUUUCGGAUCGUAAAACUCUGUUGUUAGAGAAGAACAAGGAUGAGAGUAACUGUUCAUCCCUUGACGGUAUCUAACCAGAAAGCCACGGCUAACUACGUGCCAGCAGCCGCGGUAAUACGUAGGUGGCAAGCGUUGUCCGGAUUUAUUGGGCGUAAAGCGAGCGCAGGCGGUUUCUUAAGUCUGAUGUGAAAGCCCCCGGCUCAACCGGGGAGGGUCAUUGGAAACUGGGAGACUUGAGUGCAGAAGAGGAGAGUGGAAUUCCAUGUGUAGCGGUGAAAUGCGUAGAUAUAUGGAGGAACACCAGUGGCGAAGGCGGCUCUCUGGUCUGUAACUGACGC